UUUCAUAAUGUAAUUGCCCAUCAAAGAUGAAUGCAAAUACAUUAGAACUUGAAAGUAGCCUGGGCAUCACUUAAUUUUGGUUUAGCUUUUGCUUCCUCUUACAAGGAUUGGUUAUUCAUUUUUAUUAUGGUUGUAACACCCAGAAGAGUAAGCACAGAAUAUUUACACUAAAAAUGAACAGUGUGGAACUGUGACAGAUGGGCAUUAAUCUGUCAUCAAUUACAUC
This is a non-coding RNA of Agelaius phoeniceus (red-winged blackbird), 226 nucleotides long. Lineage: Eukaryota; Metazoa; Chordata; Aves; Passeriformes; Icteridae. The record is from RefSeq and is a predicted model, not a curated record.